This 405-nucleotide ribosomal RNA is filed under the name uncultured bacterium. RNAcentral's name for it is "partial 16S ribosomal RNA". It matches the Rfam family "Bacterial small subunit ribosomal RNA", at positions 360 to 773 of the family's 1533-position model. The record is from RNAcentral.
AAUAUUGCGCAAUGGAGGGAACUCUGACGCAGCGACGCCGCGUGAGCGAUGAAGGUCNNNGGAUCNUAAAGCUCUGUCCUUGGNGAANAAGGUCUUCGGACUUGACGGUACCUAAGGAGGAAGCCCCGGCUAACUACGUGCCCGCAGCCGCGGUAAGACGUAGGGGGCAAGCGUUGUCCGGAAUUAUUGGGCGUAAAGGGUGCGUAGGCGGCCUUUUAAGUCAGAUGUGAAAGGCUACGGCUUAACCGUAGUUAGCAUUUGAAACUAAAAGGCUUGAGUGCAGGGGAGGAGAGUGGAAUUCCUAGUGUAGCGGUGAAAUGCGUAGAUAUUAGGGGGAACACCAGUGGCGAAGACGACUCUCUGGACUGCAACUGACGCUGAGGCACGAAAGCGUGGGGAGCGAAC